AGAUCUGUGAUUGCAACUAAUGUUUUCAAAUUUGUCGCCUAUUUAUAUUGACGGAAAUGUGUGUCCAACCUAUAUCGAAUUGAUUAGGUAUAUAUAAAUAGUUUGAAACACCGUUUCAGUAUUAAAAAGUAAGUCUGGAAUGUUGAAGGACUUUGGAUUUCAAUUUUGGCAAUUAUUUAUUCUGUAAUAGGGCACCUACUUAAUCUUUCUGGUUUAACCCAUUGGUUGACUGGUAGAGAAUGCCUUAAGGUAUUAAGUCUGCCAUUUGUACCUUCAUGUAUUGUGCAAUGAAAAUAAAAUAAAAAAAUAAAAUAAUAGUCACCCUAAUGAGUUUGUCAAUUAUCGACUUGUAUUUUUAUUGUAAAAUUGAAUGAUUUUGGUUCACCUGUGAAAAGAUAUACCACGAUCAGCAAAACUAAACUUUUUAAAAUUUCGCACUCCAAUGCUGGACCGUUUUCUCUAAUCUGAUAAGAAGACCUUUCUGCCUCAGUGAUAAGGUUCAAUUUACUAUAACACAAAAGUUAGAGUGUUGUCCACUUUAUAUCUCCAUGGUGUGGACGGCUCUAUUUAGUUAAUGUACGGAUACAAUAAUAUCUGGCCGGAUGAUCUUAACUUGUUUCUGCAUUGUUCUGCAUGCAAAAUUGCCUACCGAAACGUGCUAACUUGCUACUUCCAAUUGCUAGUUGCCUUUGCCUAAAACAAUUUUAAUUUUACAUGACAAAUGUUAUUAUUAUUUUUUAAGGCAUCGCGCUCUUAGCGCAUUCAGCCUGACGAGUAAAACGGGGAAACAUAAUUAAAAGAUUAGAUUAAAACGAUCUGGAAAGGGUAAACUAAAAUAAUUUAAAGUUUAAUGUUAUCACGUAAAUUAAAUCAACACAAUGAUGUAAAAUAUAUAUGCAGAAGAAUCAUUAGUAUAGAUACAGGAGUAUUGUAAUAGAUGUGGGAAACGGAACUGUGAAAUCUGACACUGUCUUAAUAAUAUAGAACGGACCGAAGGGUCAUAUUCAUAUAGAUAUUACCAUGAAAGACUAUGAUUCCUACGAUUAGGUUUAUUGAGAGGAAUAUGACAGUUUUUAUAAAUAAAGCAUUCCAAAGCACUCACCACUGUAAACGGAGGAUUCUGGAGGCAACUUUAUUUUUUGGUAAAUAUUGCAUUGGGUGUGAAGUAGACCAAUGCCAACACACCCAUUGUCAGACAUUUUAGAAGCAUCUGUGUAUAUAUGAUGACCAGCCAGGCCAUCUGUUCCAAUGAAUCCCAGGAAUUAUUGAUUUUGUUCAAUAUCAUUAAUAGAGAUGCCAAUAUCAAAGAGAACUGGAGGAACAAGUAUUAGAGAUUCAUAUUCAUACUGGAAAAUGGAAAGUGUUGAAGAGCUAAUAUUACGAGCUGAAUAGAUUUAAGUUUUUGAAAACUUUUAAUCAAACAAGGAGGACUCUUGUGUUUCCAAUAGUUUAAAUAAAUAAAGAUUAUAAGACAUUAUUACACAAAUUGACUAAGUCCCACAGUAAGCAGUUUGAAGUUAAACAGAGGAAAAGGGACACAGUGGGUCAUAUUAGUACAGAAAAAGAACUAGUUUCUACUAUGUAUAGAAUUCUUGUAUCCUUGAAAAUCGCAAAAGUGGUAGUGGCUGGCCAGCAAAGAUAAUAACCAAGGCAAGCCUGAAUUGACUCAAAAGCACUUUUAGUGAUAAGAAUUCCAUGAGCCAACAAGAUGCUGCCAAAAUGUUUAAGUGUUACCAACUGUACAUUCAUCCAUCAUUAAAAAAGAUAGGUCUGGAAUGCUGCUAGAAGGUAAGAGCCCCGGAAUACACUGAUCUGUUAAAAUCGACCAUUAUGUCUCAGUGUCGCUAGAAGACUCGAAAGUACAAAGGGAAAUCAUUUAGUUAGGAUGAUGUAAGUUAUUUUCCUUUUAGCAAAACUGAUAUACCUGGAAAUGGUUGAUACUAUACUAGCAAUAAUUCUACAAUACCAGGCAAGAUCAAACACAAGUUUUAUGGAUAAGUUUGAGCAAACAUACAUUACAAUUCUUGGACUCCAAUAACAUACCAUUUGUACGUAAGAAAGUUCGAAAUUCUACAAAUUUUCCACAAUGUCGGCUGAUUGAUAGUUUUUUGGCUGUUUGGGUAUUUGAGUGUAUCUAAUAAAAAUGACUAUGACUUGUGUUCCGAAAAUGGACAAAAACGGUUUACAAGUGUCUUAUUCAAAUUUUAUAUCUAAACUACGUAAAAAUGCUGAUCACGGGCCCUACUCUAACAUCCAUUAAUGUUUAUGUAAACAAUUAUCAUGUAUAUAAUGCCUAAUAAUAACAAAGUAUCGUAAAAUGUUAUAUGAGUAAUUUUCACAGCUCUGAAAUAAAUAAUUCUCAUUUUUUGUUAUCACCCGUUGAAAAAAGUGUACCUAGUCUGCCUGAAGUCUAUCAAGUUUUUCACUGUUGAAUUUUGAAAAGUAAAUAUUUCACAAACUUAAGGUCCAAAAAUUCUGAUCAAACUACCGCGUUAUUCCAGGUGAUGAGCAGCUUCAAUCUGCGUUGUCCAAAACAGCCGCGCGCAGCUGCAACUCCGACCACGCCGCCACGUGGUUCUUGUUUUUUUUAGUGUUUGCGCCUCGACGGUGCAUCUCGAAGGUGUCUUUGGGUGGGUCUUGGCGAGGCGCUUCCCAGAGGAGGGUUCACUGGUGUCGCGAUAUUUUGCUCCAAAGUGGUUUUAACCUCAAAAAAGGCACAUUUUUGGCACUUUUUCACUGCACUGUCGUUGUGCGGCUAAAUCGCUAUAGACGUAUGCGCGGCACUGUCCCGCAACAUUUGACGUAUCGAACGUUUAAAUCGGUCGAGAAAAACCCACUUUUUCUAUUUUUUUUUACCGCGGAGCUUUGUAAAACGAUGGCGGUCAGUGUGGCGGAUGGAACGCAACUCGAGCCUGAGCUACUUCCAACUUCACCAGUCAGUUUGCUGGCUCAGCUGGAUGAAGGAAAUCUGAUACUGAGGCAUGGGAGAUUAGAUGAAAGGGUUUUGUUAUGACAUACCUGUUCCAUCCUCUGAGGUCUAAAAUGGGUCUUACACCCCCAUCGCUAAUAUGGAUUCUGUCUGGUACAAGUUUUCAGUACAUCCAAUUGCUUCUGCAUUGCUUCAACUUCUCUCUCUUCUGACAUUUGCUUGGAUGGAUUGGUUGCAAAUCUUUCUACUAUAGCAGGUGUCGGGAAAACCAAUGGAGGCUUUUCAAUAAAAAGAUGUGGGAUGCUGUUAUUGCUUUGAUGACAAAUUUGUUGGCUCCAAGCUCCCUCCAUCUCUCUUGAAACUCUGCCAGACAUCCCCCUCUGAAAUCCAUAUACCUACUCAUUUUUCUUCCUUAGUGGAAAGGCUGUGUUGUUUGUCACGAAAGUUAGAUCUCUUCCUUUUCCUUUAUUUCCGUUGUCUUUCUGAAAAAUUAGUGGUUUUUUUAUAUGUGCUCUACUGGGUUUCAGUAGAUUUCCUUAUCAGCGAGGGCUUCUUUCGUGUGGCAUGUUUAGCCAUGCGGCAGGUCCGUCCAGCGACUGAACUAGUUGGGAAAGUGUCUGCCUGGCAAAUAAGUAUGCCUUAGUGGGCGGGAUACUCCCCAUUGCCCUCUGAAUAUACUUAUCAUGUAUUUCUUGUAAGUCUUUCUCUUCUGGUGUCAAUUCAUUAUGUCCGCUUCCCACAAAUUACCUUUUCAACACACUUGCUCAAACGACGUUUUUAUUCCACCGAUUUUUGGCUCAUAAUCCUAGAUAUUAAAUACGCGUGCUUUUUCAGUAUAUUAUAGCACUUGGGCUUUUUCAUUAUAUUAUCCGACUGAGUUAAGAAGGUAACUGAUUGCAAAUAAUAUGCAUGGAAAAGGAGCCUUCUUCAUUUGGUCGAGUAAUACAUUUUUUUUCUAACCAACUAUUAGGUUUCAAAUGUUAGUUCAAAGAGGUUUUAUCACACCAAACAUAAUUUAUAGAUUAAAUUAUCUCGUAAAUUACAUUAAUGAAUAAACAACAAUUUAUCGAUUUGAUCUCCAUCCGUCGAAAAGAAAUACGAAAAUAUUAGCCUUUUUAUAUUUUUUUAAUUGGCUGUUUGUCGAAUUCGUGCGCGCCUUGCGGGCGCAUUGGAAUCGUGCUUAAAAAAAAAUAACGCGCCAGCCAUUUUCCGUAUUUGUCAUAAAAUUGGAAUAGUUUUGCAUGUUUUUAGUUUAUAUAUUGACGAAAAUGUCAUUUUCUAGCAUUGUAAAUGAAGAACACAUAAAAUUGACGCUGCCAGUAAUACUAAUAGAGGCAAGAGCCGAGAACGAUAGCCUUUUAUCAUCAAAAUCGGCUGAAAAAUAAUUGGCGGCAUAUGAAUCUUUUAUUCAAUGGAAAAUCAGCAAAAACGCCCAGUUUUUCUUGGAAAACGUGUUGGUAGCUUACUUCAAUGAACUGGCGAAUAAGUGCCUACAAGCCCAGCACGCUUUGGUGCAAUUAUUCGAUGUUAAAACUGCAGGUCCGUUAAUACUGGUGUAACUGUAAAAUUUUGCAGCGCCUUGGCGUACCGCACGUCCCUCCAGGAGGUUAGACGAAAAUGUUGGGGAGAGUUAAUGAUUGCAACUCUUUCUGGAUUUGCCUCUCUAUCUUGUUUUUAUCCACUUCGCUCUCUAUUUUUCCGAAAACCAGCUCUUUAGUGCUACCUGAAGGGACCGUUAGGAAUUCCGAAGAGGAAGCGUGGUGGAAGAGACGAUGACAGCGGCAGCUGGACACAUAACUUGAGAGCAGCCGAUAUCUCAAGAAAAUAAAUAAAUAAAUUGUGUUAUGAAAAGAUUAUUUCAUAUUUUGCUAAUAGAUAAAAAAACUUAAUAUAAUA
Molecule: long non-coding RNA, 4825 nt
Organism: Cydia pomonella (codling moth)
Lineage: Eukaryota; Metazoa; Arthropoda; Insecta; Lepidoptera; Tortricidae
Exons: 3
Source: RefSeq, a predicted model, not a curated record